CCUACGGGUGGCUGCAGUGGGGAAUAUUGCACAAUGGGGGAAACCCUGAUGCAGCGACGCCGCGUGAGUGAAGAAGUAUUUCGGUAUGUAAAGCUCUAUCAGCAGGGAAGAAGAAAGACGGUACCUGACUAAGAAGCACCGGCUAACUACGUGCCAGCAGCCGCGGUAAUACGUCGGGGGCAAGCGUUAUCCGGAUUUACUGGGUGUAAAGGGAGCGUAGACGGCUGUGCAAGUCUGAAGUGAAAGCCCAGGGCUCAACCCUGGGACUGCUUUGGAAACUGUGGAGCUAGAGUGCUGGAGAGGUAAGUGGAACUCCAUGUGUAGCGGUGGAAUGCGUAGAUAUAUGGCAGAACACCAGUGGCGAAGGCGGCUCUCUGGUCUGCAACUGACGCUGAGGCUCGAAAGCCUGGGUAGCGAACAGGAUUAGAUACCCGGGUAGUC
RNAcentral lists this ribosomal RNA (441 nucleotides) under uncultured bacterium. RNAcentral describes it as "partial 16S ribosomal RNA". It matches the Rfam family "Bacterial small subunit ribosomal RNA", at positions 338 to 795 of the family's 1533-position model. The record is from RNAcentral.